GGCUCAGGACGAACGCUGGCGGCGUGCCUAACACAUGCAAGUCGAGCGGGGACAUUGCGACGGAUUUGAAGUUUUCGGAUGGAUUUGAAGAUGUAAUGUUCUAGCGGCGGACGGGUGAGUAACGCGUGAGCAACCUGUCCCUUACAGGGGGAUAACACAGCGAAAGUUGUACUAAUACCGCAUAAGACCACAGAGCGACAUCGCUUAGGGGUCAAAGGAGCAAUCCGGUAAGGGGUGGGCUCGCGUCCGAUUAGAUAGUUGGUGAGGUAACGGCCCACCAAGUCGACGAUCGGUAGCCGACCUGAGAGGGUGAUCGGCCACAUUGGGACUGAGACACGGCCCAAACUCCUACGGGAGGCAGCAGUGGGGAAUAUUGGGCAAUGGGGGAAACCCUGACCCAGCAACGCCGCGUGAGGGAAGAAGGUUUUCGGAUCGUAAACCUCUGUCCUUGGUGAAGAGAAAGAGACGGUAGCCAAGGAGGAAGCCCCGGCUAACUACGUGCCAGCAGCCGCGGUAAUACGUAGGGGGCGAGCGUUGUCCGGAAUGAUUGGGCGUAAAGGGCGCGUAGGCGGCCCGGUAAGUCUGGAGUGAAAGUCCUGCUUUUAAGGUGGGAAUUGCUUUGGAUACUGUCGGGCUUGAGUGCAGGAGAGGUAAGUGGAAUUCCCAGUGUAGCGGUGAAAUGCGUAGAGAUUGGGAGGAACACCAGUGGCGAAGGCGACUUACUGGAC
Molecule: ribosomal RNA, 728 nt
Filed under: Clostridiales bacterium P37
Lineage: Bacteria; Bacillati; Bacillota; Clostridia; Eubacteriales
Description: bacterial SSU rRNA
Rfam family: Bacterial small subunit ribosomal RNA
Source: RNAcentral